This 300-nucleotide unclassified non-coding RNA is filed under the name uncultured Agaricomycetes. RNAcentral describes it as "sequence contains 5.8S rRNA gene, ITS2". The stretch from base 1 to 71 matches the Rfam family "5.8S ribosomal RNA", at positions 84 to 154 of the family's 154-position model. Lineage: Eukaryota; Fungi; Basidiomycota; Agaricomycetes. The record is from RNAcentral.
GUGAAUCAUCGAAUCUUUGAACGCACCUUGCACCCUUUGGUAUUCCGAAGGGUAUGCCUGUUUGAGUGUCUUGAAACUCUCAAAACUCCUGGUCUUUGUUGAUCUUAGGAAGUUUUGGACUUUGGAUGGUUGCCGGCCUGUCUCAGGUUGGCUCGUCCUAAAUGCAUUAGCUGACCUUGCAACGGUUCGGCCGCCCGGUGUGAUAAGUAUCACUCGCCGAGGCUCAGGACUGUGAAGGGUUGCUUCCAACCGUCCGAUCCCGGACAAUCCUUUUCAAGCGUUUGACCUCAAAUCAGGUAG